RNAcentral lists this ribosomal RNA (357 nucleotides) under uncultured bacterium. RNAcentral's name for it is "bacterial SSU rRNA". It matches the Rfam family "Bacterial small subunit ribosomal RNA", at positions 362 to 754 of the family's 1533-position model. The record is from RNAcentral.
UAUUUGACAAUGGGCGAAAGCCUGAUCCAGCAAUGCCGCGUGAGUGAUGAAGGCCUUAGGGUCGUAAAGCUCUUUUACCAGGGAUGAUAAUGACAGUACCUGGAGAAUAAGCUCCGGCUAACUCCGUGCCAGCAGCCGCGGUAAUACGGAGGGAGCUAGCGUUGUUCGGAAUUACUGGGCGAAAGCGUGCGCAGGCGGUUUUGAAGACAGAGGUAAAUCCCCGGGCUCAACCUGGAACUGCCUUUGUACUGCAAGGCUGAGACGGCAAGGGGAUGAAUUCCGCGUGAGCAGUAAAUGCGAGUUGCGAGAACACCAUGGCAAGGAAUCCCCUGGGCCUUCUGCGUAUGCAAUACGUAC